AGUAGCAAGAGGAGAGGAACUCUUUAUUAGUUUACAGAGAAUCAUUAAGCUUGCCAGCCUCUUGUUGGGAACUAAACGGAUUUGACCCCUUGUAGUCACUAAAGAAGAUAAGGUUAGGCCCAGAUGUUAUAGAAUGAAGUAAACACAGAAAUAGGUGUUAAGGGAGUUAAUUAAGUAAGAAAGAAAUAGGUGUUAAGGAAGUAAAGAGUUAACAAUGUAGAAAGAGUUAAGGGAGGUAAGAGAUAGUACUGGCGCAAGAUAGGUAAACGAUUUAAGGAACCGAGAAAAACCCUUAGGACUGAUGGCUCCAUUCUAUAAACGAUGACAUAUUACUUGGUUGUUCCCUUGCUUGGUGAGUCAGAGAUAGAUUCUUUGUUUCACCCUCUGUUUAAACGUAGCCCACUAAGGGAACUGUCACUCGUAUUCUUUACUUAUCCAUCGGUGUUGGUUGUCAACCCAUACCCUAGCCUAGAUCUAAUAGACAGGGAGCGUAAGGAAGCAACAGAAGGUUCAGUUAGGUAUCAAAGAAUAUCAUAUCAGUGAAAAAGCUUCUUUCUGUUCGAAGAAAGUAGAUAGUUGUUUGUCGAAAGGUUAAAGUCCGAUCACCCUGCUUUUAACACCAGAGGCACUUUACUAGCACUAUCAGGGUUGGCAAUUCCAUAAGUCAACUCUAUUCUUUAGUUCAAUACAAACUAGAUGGUUGAUCAAGAGCACGCCGGUUGGUUCUUAGUCUUUCUCCCGGUAGUCCAGUUGCUAUGGUUCUGAUCCGGAUCUAUCAGCUCUCAAUUCUAUUCUUAAAGCAAAGAAAGAAAGGGGACUCGCUCUGUUAGCCGAUGAUGUAACUAUACUUUCUGCCUUAGACACUCGAAUUACACUUUAUAAAGCAUCUGGUCCUAAUCAUGCUUCUUAUCUAUCUUAUAACCCUUAUUGGGCUUCUCAAGUACCCGAACGAACUCUAUUUUCUUUCUGAACCUGAACCCUUGACUAGAUUCUGACUUGGCCACCGAGUCCAAAAUGAAUUGAUUAUCUUGUGCACCAACUAGCUUAGUAGAAUUAAGCCGUUGCGCGUUAGUGAGCUCAGGUAAAGAAACCAAAGGCAAUACCCACCAUACCUUUAAGAUUCCCUGAGAACUAUGACUUUAUUAUUCUGAACCGAUUGAUUCCACUCUCACUGCGGAUUCCGGCAAAGGCACGGCUACUUAUCUCUAUGACUUAACCGAGCACUGAUUCACUUGCGGAACAGCUUACCACUUCUACCGCUACAUGGGCAUGAGAUCCUGAUCCUGACUCAGCUUCAAAGCAAGUACUUCUGCCCGAACAAGACUUUAAGACGAAACAAGAGAUGAAACUCAAACUGGUCAUUCUGUGGCUUCUGAUCUUGAAACAGAAACGGAUCUUAUAGAUUCAAGUGGUCGGGUUCUCAUCCUUAGAAAAUGGUAAAGAGGAUUGGAUAUCCCGGAGAGCGUUCCUAUUGGGUUUUGCCCUCCGCUCGAGCUCAACCUUUGGUCAUCCAAUAUGAAAAGGAAGGAUUGCUAGUACUAUGGGUAAGCUAUUCUAUAUGGACAAGCAGACUUCUACCAAAUCCCGUCUCGUGUUUGAUAGGGUCUGUAUUUCUUUAAAUAAAGCUCUCCCUUAUAAAAAGGUUUGGAUCGACAUCGGAUCUUGAGGAACAAUGUGUCCAAUACGAAUAAAUGGAUUCCUCUUUGCAUGUACUAAUUGCAAGGCCACGGGUCAUAAAGCGGAACUCCAUACAGUGAAAGUGACUCCUCCUUUGGUGCCCAAGGAUUCUGCACAAUCUGGAAUAUCGACUUAAUGCCUCUGAGAACUGUAAAGCUACCUCCACACGGGUUCUUAGGCCGCGCCCAAUCCGGAGCCAACUAACCUUGAACUUAGGUUUAGGCUUUCUUUCACACCAGCAUUAACCAGAGCUUGGAGCGAUUCCUACUGGUGAUGUAUGCCAGAUUGGAGCCGAGCAAGCAUCAAAACGUCAAGAAAGAGCGCUAAGCUGUUUUUCUUUGAUGCUGUAGUUGGGCACUUUCCUAUUUUCUUUGAUGCCCACUUUCGCUAACCUGUAUUUAAAAGAUGCUGUUGUUUGCUAGUUCCAUCAUUUAAGAUAGAUGCUUUUUGCUAGUUCUAUCAUUUAAGAUACAAUUUGACGGGUACCUAAAGAAAGGUCCGUAAGUCGCAGCAGUUGCUUAAGAUCUUUGCCCUCUUGUGUUCACUAGCCCCCAAAACUAGCUAACGGAGCCCUAUCUUCUUAUCAAGUGUUCACUAGCCCCUAUAAUUGUAAGGAAAUUUAGAACUCGCGGAAGCUUAUUUACUUGUGCGCCGGGCAGCUUACUUGACUUUUCUAUUGCCGACCUAUAAUGCGUUAGCUUUCUUGAGCAGGUGCUAAGCCGUAGUGCGUUAGCUUUCUUGAGCGGAUGCAUUAGUUAGUUUACAUUCUCUUGGCUCUGCUCCACCAAACGGAACUGCUUGUUGAAACCUCACAGCUUAUAGCUAUUACCCCACUACACUACCGAUUAAGAAAGGACUUGCACACUUAGGAAUUCUGCCGAAACUGGAAUGAAAGAAUGCAACGGGCCCUAUUAAGUCAGUAGGAAACCCUACAUUGAACUCACUUUGUCAGGGCAAGAAGGCAGACUCAUAUAACUAAGGCAACUAUACCUAUGGCGACGAGAACUAUCCGAUUCUCCUGCCCGUGGUCAACUAAUUGGAUUCUGCAGUUGUUUUCGCUUGGCCUCAGUACUGAACUUUGUAGUUAUCCUCUAGUCUAGUUGCUUGUUUGCUCUUGUAAUUGCAGAAUGUAGUUUCCGUUUGAAAGUAAUAAUAGCUAUAGUAGAAGCAGGCCAUAAUACAUAAUUGCAAGCGCAUAUCUAAUAUCUGAAUUCUUCUGAAGCACUAACUGAGCUGACAAGUAGUCCAUUUGGAGAGUUGGUAUCAGUUCAAUGAAUAAGGGAUGCGGAAGACCACUCCCUUUGUUUUAGUUGAAGACCUGAGAAGAAGACCUCAUAGUUAAUAGAGUUUUAUAUCUGAGUAGAAGCCCACUAUGAACAAGUCCUGUGAACUUAUAUAUCUGCGACUUAACGAGCACUUAAAUAGAUUCCAAGAAGGAAACCACAGAGAGCUGCAACACACGCAACAGCACACAGAAAAAGAGCAGCACACAGAGAAAAAAGAACAGACAAAGGGAAGAAAGAAAAGAAGUCAACUAGUGAGUUAAUCCGGAGUUAACCUGCUUUUUUGUACUGUAUUCGCAAGUAAUGAGCUCAAUCAAAUAUGUUAUAUAAUUUGUUAUUACCUUUACUACUCUACUGGUUGGGCAAGGAAGCAAUAAGUAAGGAAUAAAUCUCGUCUCUCUCUUUGGGUGCUCUGAACCAACCUAAGUGCUCUCUCAGGCAGGAAAUACAGAACUCAACUCUAUAGAAAGUCAGAAUUCCACAAUAAACUCAGUAUCCGCGGAGGCAACUGGUAGAUCAGCAACAGCAAGGUUCUCUAGUCCAGUAGCCAAAAUACAGGACUUAUGAAAAACUCUUAGUUCUUGGCUCUUCAAGUCUUGACUGCGCUGUUAAGGGUAAUGUAUAAACCAGAGGUAAAGUCGUCAACUACAACUGAUUGUUCUGCUCUAGCUCCUUGUCUUUCUCGGGUACGAUAAAGUGUCCUAUAGUGCAUUAAGUAUGAAGUAAUCGAAUUUGUAACUACAGCGCCUAGCCCUUUCACCUGACAUCCGGCUGCUGAUCUCGUAGACAAGAAUGUAGACUUUGACAUUGCCUUCUUAUACUGAUUCAUAUGAUGAUCUAGCUCCUGCGCUGAUGCUUUAAUAGAAAUAUAUGACGAUACAAGCGCCUUAGCGAUCACACUUCUUGUCCCGACAAUAACACCUCUUGUCCCGCAUCAGGUCAAUCUGGUGUGAAAGCCCUCUUCCUCUUUAUCUAAGUUGAACUCCUCCCCUGUUUAACAGAGCUAAUGAGAAAUCCAUCAUGAAAAUACUCUAUCGGCUGUUGAAAUGCUUUGUAGCCCUGUCAUCUUUACCCCUCUGGACUGUACCGUAGGGAAGCUUUGUAUUGACUUCUUUUUAUCUAUACAAGGUGCUCGAUAUGUUUUAUUUGAAUUCAUUGAUUUGACUGUUGCGUGUAAGCUUAUUGACCCACUACUACAUGAGGAUAGUUUGUUUGCCGGAGCAAGACGUUCUUCCAGAGGAGAGGCCUUGAAGCUAUAAGUCAAGAAGUGCAGAAUUGCACUCAGUAGUGGUAGAUGAGACAGAGGCAUGGGGUUCAGCGAGGGAUGAAACUAGAAGUCGCUUUGCAGUUGCCCUUAUAUUAAGUCGUUAGGAGUUGAGUUAUUGGCGUUAAAGCCUUAGUAGUGGUCGUGGUCCUGUUUCAUCAGUAUUAGUUGACUUCGGAUCAAGACUAAGUGCUAAUGCUUACUUAUUGGGGCAAUCUGAUAGACUCACUUCUUUUCCUGCACAGGAAUGCUAUGCUUCUGGUUCUGCCCUCGAAAGGAUCUUUAUUUGUUUACUUUACUUCAUACUAAACAGCUUAAGCUAGUGCGAUGCGAGUGUUGUCUACUUGUUGCGGUAAUAGAAUCAGGGGGAAUGCUAUCAAGGUAUAAAGCUGGGGCUGGGUAAAGGGAAAGGGGGAUGAAACUCGUACACAGGGAGCUCAUCGACACAAUGACUUCUACGCGUUAAGCUCUAGCGGCAGAUUUCUUUAGAACGGCUUCUGACCGAGGAGACCCCCUUUCAUCGUUUGAUCGUUAUCGAGCUAAUUCAUCUGUUUUCGUCGCCUACUUGUUGAAUAGAUUCAUAAAUCUGUCUGAGCUGAGGUAAGUCUCUACGCUCGAAAGGAGGUAUCUUCUCGAGUCGUUAGUCGGGCAUACUGUCUUAGGAAAGUAGCUCCUUUGGAGAGCCAUCUUUCCGAGUCGGGAGUUAGGGGGCUUGAAGCACCUUUCUUCUCUGUCCUCUCGGGUAUUAGUGUUUCUGCUGUUGGGUACUGUUUGAGGUAAAGGGGGGCGUAGGGUCCUGUUUACCAAGUGGGUUGUCCAAUCUUGUUGUAGCUUGCUGUGCCAUGAGUGAGUUUGCUACAGAGUCGUAAUUCUCUCUUUUUGAAUAGCUGUAUUUGACUAAGCUAAGAACAAAUCUCCCCGGAAAGCGUAUACUAGGAGCCGGAGCAGAGCCAGCUGCUUGUUUCAAGAAGUAUUAGUGGACAGAGCCCGAGGUUCCUUAAUUCAGUAUCUAGUGGGCAUUCGAACAGUAUUGCAAAGUGGUUGGGUUGGUAGCUUGUUGGAUUAAGGGUCUGUCUCUACUUUCCUCUGCGCAACAAGACGUCGUGCAUCAGUGAGGCAUAGCCUACUUAUCUUUUUUAUACGAAAGAAGUCCAGCACCCAACCCAUACUCUAGCUCAAGCCAUCACUUCUAAAGCUAUAAGAAAGAACUAUCUAAAGCUAUAGGCGAAAGACAACUCUACCACUUAUAGAAGUACAGGUACCGCUACGUGGGAUAAUAGGUAAUGUAGGCAUCCGCACUAAUUUGCAUUCUAUAUACGAGACUUUCUUCUUUCCCGGAACCCGCACCAUAAGAUAGAUGAAACUACAAACCACUUUCUGCUUUCCAUGAACCCGGGCACCAUAAGAUGGAUGGAUGAAACUAAUAACCACUUGACCUUAACCCUUAGCCUUUCCUGUACAAGAGCAAGAAGACCACUUUCAAUAUACGAUUCAAAAAGCACUUAACCCUGUACAAUAGCAAUCGGUACCCUAAAAGCACUGAACUCUGUACAAUAGCAAUCGGUACCCUAAGAAAAUAUGAAUCUAGUACGUACUUAUUGCCUUAAGCACACCUCACUAUAACUUUCCUUAAGCUAUAUAGAUAUAUAAUUAUUCAUGAAAAGAAGAGGCCAUAUCAGUAUAGUAAGUUCACUGGCCCUUACUCCAAUUCUUCUGUAUCAUUCAUUUCGAUUCCAAGUCUAAAGUAACGUAUAAAUCAAACCCGGGAAACUAGCUAACGUAUUUGUUCUAGCAUUGUUGAGUUGAGUUCACUCAUAUCGGCACUGUUAUAGAAGAGAGAUUUUGUGCUUCCCUUAUAAUGACUAGAUUUUCUUUGCUUCCCUUAAUUACUUAUAUCGGCACACUGUUAUAGAGGAGAGAUUCUGUGCUUCUCAAUUGCUGUAGGUAGAGCUUCACUCUUAUACGGGUUUUCUAGUAGCCGCAUUGUGGUCGGGGGACAGUGUCUUGUCGGGUUCAAUGAAUUGGAGUGAAAAGAGACUAGGCUGUUCGCGAGGUCUGUUAUUCUUCUUAUUCUUAAACAGAAACUUACACUUACUAUAAGGGAAGGGCAGGACUACCACUUUCUACUGGCUCCAUUAGUAGCAAUAGGAGUUAUCGGCUUUCCCGAGUAUACGAGCUGGGGCAAUCAUCCAGUCUCCUAUAAUAGAAUAUAAUAAGAAGAGCUAUUUAUAAGGGCUUUCCUACCAAGCAACCACAAAAUUCCGUAUGUCUCUUUAUAUAGGAGAGGCGGGAUCCAAGGUUAUGUCGCAUUCCUAACAAUCAUCCUGCCAGCUAUAGCAACGACCCAGCUUGGGGGAGCAGAGGAGACCCAUCACAAAAGGGCUAGACGAUCGAAACUAUUGAGAUGAACCCAUUUUAUAUACGACUCAAGCUCUUGGUCCGUUUCCGUUUCUGAAUGAGUUGCUGAAAAGGAAGUUUGAGUAUGAAGGUAAGAAUCAUAGGCUUGAGCUAGGCAUGCUCGAUCUAGAUAACACUUCGUGCUCCUUCCUUUGAUAAUUGAGUGGCAGAGGUACAGAAAGAAAUUGAGUCUCUUGGGCACCUUAGCCAGGUAUAUAAAGAUGUAAAGAGACUGCUUCCCCAUCUUAUGAAUCUGAUACAAACUUAUGAUCUUGUUCCUACUCGUACUUCCUCACCUGCUUACGCGCAAGGAAAGUCUAUCAAAGCAGUAAUAGUGGAAUGGAAUAGCAAGUUUCCGUUUUGAAUUGCAGAAUGGAAUGUUGAAUCAAAGGUGAAAGUAAGCGGGAAAGGAAUCAAGAAAGAAUGCUUUGGAAGGCUUGAAUGCCCGGCUAGCAACUAGGAAAGUCACUACUGGACAAGCAACGAAGCGGGGCCAAGAAACUAGGCGCCAAGUCACUAGGCCCAGUGUUGUCUACGAUAGAAGCAGUUAGCAGAUCAUAAGCUUUUCGAUAAUCCGCAACAGAACUCGCAAGGUAACCAUCAACUUCUGUCCUGGAAUCAAUUGAUGUUCUUGAAAAGUAGGUGUUUGGCAGAGGUGUCAAGGCCUUAUUAGAGAAAUCCAGCGUUCAAGCGGAGAAGCUAUGCGAGUGAAGUCAACGAUAUUAGAAAAGCGGGAUAAGAAUCAUAAGUAGUGCGCAAGUAAUGAAAGUCUGCAGUUAGAGCGGAUUCAUAAGUGAUAGGUGUGGAGCAGGAUCAAAAGAAGGAAAGUAGACAUCGACAAGAGAAUCAUCAUAAUAAGAUAAGGGAGAACCCAGAUAUAGAAGAACUUGGCUAUACAGAACCAGAACUUCUAGUUAAUAAGUUUUCCUCCGCGUGUAAGGGAACAGAGUUGAUAGGUGCAUUUUCAAUAGUUAGAUAUAUGGCAUCAGUUCAUAAAUAUCUCUUUGAUUGAGUUGCGCUAGUAGAAAGAAAGUCAAGGGCUUACAGUAGCUGAGUUCCAGAAGCCGAAUCUCAUGCCUAUAAGAUGGAAUAGAAGCAGAAUGAAAGAGAGCGGUGCUGGCGACGAGAGAGAAUCCGCGGGAUCAGUAUCUGCUGCAGUGAGAGUUGAGAUCGGAAAGAGAGAUUCUUGUUUCAAGAGAAGAACAUGAAGAAGGAGGAUAUCACUUCCAUGUGGGUGUUCUGUUGGGUAUCGGUAUCCUUUCUAAAAGAGCCCCCAAGCUUUUUCGUGAGAUCUUUCCUGAAUUUUAGGGUGCGCAGUUACAUGUUUCCUUUCAUAAGUCAUGGGUAACUGUGUGUAAAUAUCUUUUGAAAGAAGAUGCUGAUCCGUUCUUCUGGGGCAAUGGAGAUCUGCUCACAGUUCAGAAUGAAAUUCAGGCCUGCACGAAUCAUACUAGGAAGCCAGUCAGUAACAUGGAGAUUAUCGACAAACUUCAGAACUUAGAUGAGUGGGAACAUGUCUAUAAAGAUCCGGAUCUAUUGAACAUGAUUUUCCGUUCGUACAAUACCCUUAGAUCAGUUUACGAGGAUAUGCGCCUGAUAAAAGACAGUGAAAGUUCGCUGCACACUCGCUUCAUAAAAUCUCUUUCCGAUCGUGGUCAGCCCGCCGAAUAUACAAUUCCGUAUCUGAAAGAAAAAGACUAUUUACUUGAUUGGAUCGCCGUGAAUGUUCUAUUUCAUCGUCCAAUUAAGACCAAGCAAUUGCGGAUUUAUGGGGUUCCUAGCACGCAAAAAACUCUUCUUUUCGAAAUGCUAAACUCCGUGCUUAAUAUCUACCAUGCAACUACUAGAAAGAACGAUAUUACUGGUGCCCACGACUAUUACGAUUUGUGGUUGUUUGAUGAAUUCCAUGUGGUGGAAGAUGCUAAUCUGAGUUCCGGAAUCAGCCAGGCGAUUAUGGCAUCGACAAACAACACAUUGCUUCGAGUUUUAGAUGGUCAGCAAUGCCGUUUGGAUGCAAAAUAUGGUAAGCUCUUCAACCAAAAAAGAAAUGUGCCCACAGUAAUGAUAACAAAUUCUCCAUCUCGAAGUCUUAGGCAGCGAGGCCCCUUCCAUGAAAGGCUUAUGAGGCUUAAGUUGAAGAAUCAUAUUUAGGAUCUUAAAGAGGAAAGAGUUAUUGCAACCUUAUAUGGCUGCUUUACUCGAAGGCUUUUGCAGAAAACAAUGUUGUGGGAAAACGGCUUUCUGCUUCCACUGAAGUAUAACGAAGAAAUAGGUUCUAUCACGCUGUUCCCUAGUCUGAAAAACCCUUCUGAAGAUAUCAGUUACGAAGACCGUUUUAUACAGGACCCCCGCGUCUGCGAGUCUUUAUUGCAAGAAGGGGACACUGGCAACAUCCUAACUCGUAGUGGUCAUCGCUUGGACAUAGUGGUUUCUUCCAAUUUACGAGGUGUUGCGAAGUCGUAUGAGGAAUUCCUUCAUUUGAAAGGUGUGAUGAACACGUUCAGUCUGCAGUCAAGGACAAGAAAGAGCCCCACGGACGUGCUCUCCAAGGAUGAGGUCUUCUCUCUGCUGGAGUUCGUGUUCAUUCCUUUAGCCCCUCAGUCAGAUCCUUUGCAACAACAUCGGGGUAAACCCGUAAUGUGGAAGCAGUUCAAGACGCUAAAUAGCGAAAGUCGUGCUUUCAACGUUGGCAUUUUUGGUUAGAACACUGAGUCAAAGAAUUCUCCAUGGCACCGCAUCGCGGAUCCAUUGCAAAGCGAGUUCGAUGAAUUAGGCGCUGAUAGCUCAUUAGCUUAUUAUGCUUCGUGGCCGCUUCAAAUGUAUAUAAAGGGGUUUGACAUGUCCUGCAGCUUAGGUGUUACCUAUACAUAUGAUGACAAUACUCUUGAUAGAGCACCUUCGAAUCCGCAUACGGUGGGUUGCGUUCCUCCCAACACUCAUAUUUUCCAAGGCACCGUUACCUUGAAAGUCAAUGGUGGAACCUACCGUGCUACUCAGUGGAAAAGAAAUGGGGAUGUUCUGAGUGUUAGUUCUUCUCGUGAAGGUUGGAUGACUGAAUCUGACGACUAAUUCUUCUUAUUUCAUUUCCGUUUCUUUGUCCGUAACCUCUUUGUCCGGAACCAAGUGUAUCUCCGGAGGCUUUAUCCGGAACCAAGUGUAUCUCCGGAGGCUUUAUCCGGAACCAAGUGUAUCUCCGGCUUGUGUCCGGCCCCUAAUCAAUCAAUGCCUCUUCCCUACCCAAUGCUUCUUCCCUAACUAGGACUCACUGUGCUUAAUUGUGUAGGUUCCCGGUGAAUAAUUUGAGAAGAAAUGCAAAAAAAGUAGAAAAGUCAGAAUCUACAAAAAGGUGUAGAUAGGUACGAAUAACAGGCGGGGGGCAAAGAACGAUAUUUAACAAGAUGGAAUGCCUGGCCAAGAGCUACUGUUUGUAGAAUGAAAUGUAGUAGAGACAUACUCAGAGUUCGGAGCAAGGGACUUGGAGACAGGAGAAUUACAGAAGUAAGGGAAAGGAUGAGAAGCAAGGUAGUGCGUACGAGACCAUUGCUAUUAGGUAUGAGACCGGACAAGCUAUAGCGUAUAUAAAGGAGUCUUUCCUAUCAUCCCCUCUUUCCGUGUCCUUGUAUUUGGCGAAUCCUCGAGAUACCUGCGCAGAUGUUUUAAUUGGAAAUAAGAAUAAACGGAUAGAGAUGCUUUUCCUAGUGAAAGGUGCCUUUGGAUUCGAAAGGACUUGCAAACUUAGCUCUUUUUCUGGGCUUGGCUAUAUUUUCGCUGGGCUGGAAUGGAAUGUGGGUCUUCACAAACAGGGGAUUCCUUCCUAAAGAAGUUCUGCCGACGGUGUUGUUGAGGAGAUGAGAUUACGAGGUGAAGGAGCUGGGUUAGGAGCUGGCAGAGAAAUCAAACCUGAUCCAUAAGAAUGUCCAAAGGAGGACCGCUGGACGGAAGGAGGUAUUGGUCAAUCUCUUUCUACUCUUGGGUCGUCAUCAAAGAGGUUUACGUUGGUCGUCAUCAAAGAGGUUUACGUUGGUCAUCAUCAAAGAAGUUUACGUCCGGGGUCCCUUUCAAACCGGUGAAGUCCACCCGAGAACACCAACAUUCCUAGUUGUAUCAUUGAGUGGAGUUUAGUCAUUUUACGUUUAGUCAUUUGACUUAUUAUUUGAUUGGCGAUUACUGACUAAUUGGCUGACUGAUCAAGGAACAACAAACAGAACAUGCCAUGCUAUGAAGGAGAUCGCUUCUAUGAUCGAUGUAUGACCAGAAAAACUCAUGCAAAUGCACUUUGACCCUGCCUAUGGGAGUUCCUAAACUGGAGUUCCGAAACGGGCAUUCUAUGAACGGGUAUCCAGCUGUAAAAGUUUCCUCGUCUAGUAUCUAGUCUCAUACCUCUUGUGAUGGUGCUACAUCCCGCAUUGACUUUCCUUUUACCUCUACUUAGCCUUAGGGAAGGAUCUCUUUUGUGUUCACAUCCUAGUUUUCCCACAUACGUUUUGCAAAGUUUUCCUAAUAGCAUUCGACGAAAGGGCAACUCUUGCGGGUAUUUGGAGGGUAUUCUAUGGAAAAAGCAUAAUAAGCCAACGGGGUCUUAGGACAAAAGACAUCGGUGACUGAGAUACCUACAUUGAUGAAUCGAACCUAUAGCAAUGCCGCUCCCCUUGCCAAUCUGCUCUUUGCUAGUCCGCUAACCAAGAAUCAAAGGCUUUUAGCAUCCCUUAUGAGAUUGGUUUGACCUCCCGCUAGAUCGAUAGAAAAGAAUAAUUGGACUUGGCUGAGCUGGGGAAAUGAAGGGGAAUAUCUUAUCACUGGCUGAGCUGAGGAAAUGAAGGGGAAUAUCUUAUCACUCCAACGGAAACGAAAUCUCUAGAGAAAGCAUAAGGAAUUAGAUUCGCAAUAGCAGCGGCUAUCCCACCAACUUAUAAGAAAAGGGUGUAAACAGGACCUUAGUUGAUAGUGGAAUUCUUCUGGGAUUGUUUAUAGUUCAAUUAUGACUGUAAGAGUGGAAUUCUUCUGGGAUUGUUUAUAGUUCAAUUAUGACUUUAGUAAGCUAUGUUGGUUGGUGUUAAAGCCCUUAGUUAGGAGAUUGGAAGUAGUAAAGCAGUGCUUGUGGGGUUAGACUUGCCCUCUGCUCUGAGAUGGCGAUAAUUGUGGAGUUUAGUAAAGGCAUGUGGCGAUAAUUGUGGAGUUUAGUAAAGGCAUGGCUUAAGCUAACUCGAUUCGGUCUCGGUAUUUGAAUUAGGUAAAAGAAAGAGGAAUAGGAUCUCUAAAAGAAAGAGGAAGAGGAUCUCAUCGUUAAUAUGUAUCGGUAAAGCUUCUCGACCCCUACAAUGGAUGUCAUCGCUAACAAGCUAUCUGGAUACCUAAAUAUGUAAACCAAUCAGAACCAUACCCACGAGAGUACAGUUCAAUGAUUUGAAUCACUUUAGGGUCGCUAGUGUCCUUUGUCUUCUUUCAAAGAGCAGAUACGAGUACUCAAGCAGCGGCUUGCAAGACUAACAGGGGCAAGAGCCAGUGAUGGCCUAUUUUCCUUUAUCUCUACGCCGAACUGAAGCCUAGUAGGACUUAACUACCUUGAUCUGAAUCUCAGGAACUCAAAUAAUACCAAGGCAAGUCCACUCUCAAUUAAGCAUAAGCUUGGGAUCUUUCUUUCUUUUAAGAAAGCAUUUCCCUUGAAGCCAGGUCUUUCUUCUCUUUUCGGAGCUGGACUUAUUCUUCCUGGUCUUUCUUCUCUUUUCGGAGCUGGACUUAUUCUUCCUGACUGACUCGAUUCACAGUUUCUUCACACUAAGCCGGAGCCAACCCAGGGUGAGAGAGAUAGUAGAGUAGGGACGGGGAAGCAAUGUCACCAAUGGAACUAGCUAUCUGGGAUCUGUUAAUAAAAAGAUAGAGAUGCUCUUCUAGCGGUCCAAGAGCUUCUUCCUUCCUUGAGCUGGCAAUGACUUUAUUCUACCCUGAAAUCGUAGUCAGCCGGUAUAAAGACAUUCAUAUAUUCCCCAGGCACGGGAUAAAGGGAAAGAUAGAGCCGAGAGCCGGGAACGCAAGAAACUUCAUUUCUCUCGAGCGGGAAUCUUCUGAUUUAUAAUACUACCGAGACUACCAAAGCAAAUGCGACUUCUUUCCCCUCUGCUGCAACUGAAAGAUCAAAGACCGAUGACCUUAUUUCCUUCACUCAAUAACAGAACUAAAGGAAUGGAAAGAAAGAUGAACAAACGAAACAACGAAUUUCUCCGGUUUGCCAAUAAUUGCAUUUGAUAAUUGCUCAUAGGUUCAAUUGCCGGGCAAGGUAAAGUGAUGUUUAUUCAUAAGAAUUCUUAGACUCUUGGGGCAAUUUCCGUUCGUAGUUUCCUAGAAGCAAAAUUCUAUAAAGUGACCGGCUCUCGGUUAUCAACAUUUGGAACUACAGGGUUAGCCGGGUUAUCCACAUUCGUCAGGGGUUUACUAAUUGAUCGUUCGGUUAGUUGGUCGGAGAUCCCUUUUCACAAUGUUUGAAUUGUCUCGAGAAGAAUGAGUUGGUUAUCCAGUUCCGGCUUGCGGAUUGAGCUACGUUUGUUUCUUUUAUGAAGCGAGCAGGGAAGCGAAAGGUUUAGAGGAAGCAGCGAGCAGGGAAGCGAAAGGUUUAGAGGAAGCAAAGGGCGGGUGUCCACUUGCUUAGUCGGAAGUGUUUCAACCCAAUAGCAUGGGGUUACUUGGGCUUCAACAUAUGAUUUAUCUGGACGAGGCACAUCUUGGUAGAUGGUGGUGGAGGUUUCUCAAUGAAUCUCAACGCCUCUGAAUCUCAAUCUUCAAGGAGAAAGAAGGGUUGGUUGUCGGGUAACAUUUUUCUACUUGGGGUUUAUGGGCAGCUGGGUCUAACCUUAGGAGGGCAGUUUCUUAAAGGUUUCUAAAGAAGGUUAGGUGGUGGGUGAUGGGAAGUCUACCUUAUUCUGGCUGGACUUAUGGAGCGGCACAACUAGCAACCCGUUUCGCCAACCAGAGGUCCGAUGACCCAACCCCUUCCUUCUACGCUGUGCUGGGCGGUCCCCAAGACUUACUCUGAAUGGCAGGUUUCUCAAUGCGGGAUGUAACUGAUAGGAUGGGUUGGACGGCCUCUUCUCCUUCAGCUCUAUGAGAGAUGGCAGGAUAACGAGCGAAUCUAUCCGCUUGGGAUGGGCAGCUUAGCCAGCUCCAACAAAUGAUGGACCAAGUGAGGGAAGGCUUUCUACCUCGGGCCCUCUCCAGCCUGGGGUGGGUUUAUUACACGAACAGAAAAGGGAUGAAUCCAAGCAAGCAGGAUACAAACCUUGGAAUCCUGAGACUACUCGACGGGCAGGUGCAAUGGAAAGCGAAAGCGGCUCUGCUUAGAAAAAAGCAUUUCCCUUUAUCCUACUUCGGAAAUAGAAGAAUCCAAAGUCGGUUAAGGUGCUCUUACACCAACUGACAGAGAAAUAAAGGCAUUGCCACUUAGUAACAUGACUCCUUUACGUACGGAAUUCCCUACAAGACUCCCAAGAAUGGCAGCAAUACUUACGGAAUAGCAAUAGCAAGCAAUAAACAAGAAAUAAUAAAGAACAUAAAAAGAAGGCUGGACUGGACUGACUCGUUCUAGCGGAUAUGUCUUUGUCGCAGCCAGCGGAAGAUGUAUUCCUUAUAUUAGACUAUGACUAUCGGGAUUGUUACCAUCCUAUGAGAUUGGACGAUAGGGAUUUGUCCCAGCACUCUCACAGGCCAACUCGGAAAAAGCUUUAAGAUAGGCAACGUAGCGGGCAGCCUCAAACGAGAAACCAGUCCAAUCUAUUACAUACGAUCACUGAUCGAAUCGGGAAUCGGGGCCUUCUCAUACUCCUCCAAGUCAGCAACGGGCACAUAGGGUCAAAGUUUCAUAGUCAUUAGUUGGAACCCCCUUCUCUGUACACACCUAUAUGGCAGACUGCAAGCACAGAAGCUAAGGGAACGAUUGAUUUUAGGGGGUUGAUCAGAUUGCCCGAGUUGCCAGAGGUUAAGAAGCUGCUUUCUUUCAUUCGACAAUAGGAAGCAUCGCUUCUUUCAUUCGACAAUAGGAAGCAUCGCUUCUUUCAUUCGACAAUAGGAAGCAUCGGGGAGGAUGGAACGGAACUCUACUUUACAUAAGCUAUUUAGAGCGAUCCCCGUAGAUUAGAUACAACAGGGAAAUUGCAAGGAAAGAGCUGUACUUUGUUUGCUACAGACAUACGAGCUUGACUUUACUACAGACAUACGAGCUUGACUUGACUACAGACAUACCAGGGAGACUCUUACUUACUACUAGCUACUCUUACUUACUACUAGCUGUAUGGAUACCGUAGGCCUCACAUUCUAUUAGGGCAGGUCUAAAGUCACUCUAAAGAAAGGAGAGGAAGGGACCGAUACUACAAUAAUAAAUGGACUGCUCGGCGCAUUGAUUGUUUAUCCCUGGGAAUCCAAGAGAGUAACAAAAGAAAUCAAGUCUAUGAUAAGAACAAGAUUUUGGUAGAUACUAAACCUCUAAGGAUGUAUAAAUCGGAUUGGUAUUCAAAGGGAUGCUAGUGAGUAAGAAAAAGUCGUAUUUAUAUAGACCAAUAGAUUAAGUGGGGACUGUGUGAUGAGAGCUUUAAAGAAAGCCAGUCGUGGUAGAUAGGUAGGAUUGAACCCUUUUCUUUCGUUAGCGAAUUUCCUUCUUCGAUUUGUUCUUGCCAUUGAGAAUAUAAAACAAGUGUUUGAAACCAUUAAGUCAGAGUACUUCACACUUUUCUUCAUUCCAGCUUGAGUCCUCUUUUCCUUUUCCUGUUAACGUUUCCAGUAGCUCGGUUCAAGAAGUAUGGAAAGAUUUCUUUCUGUGAGGUCAUAUCAUAUAUGAAUUGGAAUAAGCAUAAAGAAGAAAAGCACCUUACUGGAUCUAGCACUUAUUACUUGCUUGCUCACCAGGACAGGGUCAUUCGCGGGUGCGUUUUUGGGCUUACAGGAUUAGUUGCUUCAAAUGGAACUACAGGCUAUCCUUUUCCUUACUAAUACAGCGGGACUCCAGAUUCUCACUUGCUUGCUGGGCACAGGUAACUUCCUGACUUUGGAUUCUUUCUGGAGUAAGGGGAGUCUGCCGCUCAUACAACCAAUUGGGCUAGAUCGAGCAUGCGACGCGAGCGGGUCCUCUUCACCAUUUGGCUUUUAUAGCGGGGCCUUCUACCCGAUAUGAGAUAGGUUGCUGCUAUAGUAGGAAUUCCAAACUGUUACCACUCGUCAUGCCUCCAUCGUCUUAUAGUACUUGCUAACAAAGAACAUGAACAUUUGCUUUAUGGAUACAUUUUCUUCCCAUCUUCCAAGAAAAUCAAAGCCGCUUUUGGGUACAUUGAUCCAAAAGUAUCUCACGACGAUUUAUAGCGAGCGAUACCUUAACUUACAAGCCGGCUUAAAGGUAGGUGCCUUCUCAGCUACUUAUGUAAUCUCAUCCUAUGUUAUGUAUGAGGUGAUUGAUCCAUAUGGUUCUAUCCCAAGGUUCAACAAGUUAUUAGCUAUGAUAGGGUCUUUUAGAGUGGGAAAGCGUUUUUUGCCUCUCUCAUAGCACCACACGAGUACUCCUAUUCUGUCCAGGCAGCAGAACAACGUGAGAUCAAAGGUAAGCAGGAAGAACGGCGGAGCCAGAAACCUACCCGCUUCUUUUCUGCUAUAGGAAAGCCUCCAUCAUCAUAUUAUUCAUUCAUGUUCGAUUCUUCAAGACGUUAUUUUAUUGGGUCUUGCAAUGGUGGCUCUGGGAGCAUAUCGAUGUUGGGCGUCCUCGUCGAGCAGAGGUUGAUCAUCGCGUCUUUCCGCGUUAAGACUAUGACUUUUGGAGACUAGGACUCGGGUUGAGUCGAAGUUGAUUAAGAGCUUUACCCACGGAGCAGUUAAGUGAGAAUUGGGAGCAUACCCCACAGGGCAGAAGUGGAUUGAAUGGGACAGUAAUUAAACAAACAAGCAAUGUCGAUCACAUCAUCGGUUAUGAGUCAAAGGACUAUCAUCGUCCUGAAAGAGCCAUUUGAUUAAAGAGGUCAGAGAAGUUAAGCGACACAAUAGUGGAUCAGAGAAGAUAAGUAGGGUCUGGUCUGUUCUUCCCCCUCAUCUGGAUGUUCAAAUCGGGAUUUCAUAAACCAACAGCCAUAUCCACUUGAACCCCAAUCCAACUACCGAAGCUUUUGGUGCUGCUAGAAAGCGUUCAACCGGCCAGCCAGAUCUAUUGAAUCAACAAGUGGACUCAAUCUCGCGAUCUUAAUCCAUCUAUCACGACCACCCCCAAUGAAACAUCCUGACUAUCCACGGUAAUACUAACUAUCCAUGGUGUAAUAUCCUUACCCCUUUAGAGAAGAACGACUCUCUACUAAAUGGCAUGAUGCCCAUAAAGCGCCCGCCGGUGGCUACUUAUGCCCGGACGUACUGCCCAGCCCAUAGAAAUCCAAGAGAUUACAUAUAUAAUAGAAUAGAACCGAACGAUUGAAGCGUAGAAUAUAACUGAACGAUUGAAGCGGGAAAGCUGGAAAUCCCCUAGAUCUUAUUUCUAUAAUAGAACCCGGUUAAAGCGCUGUUAUUCAAAAGUUGAUGAUUGCUGUGCUGCUUCACUUCAGUCUUUAGCAUCCUUUCCACUAUACGGAUUAGUCCUAACUGCGCUUAUGUAGCAUCUCUGAGAAAACAACCAAAUGUCUUGCUCUUGCCAUGCCAUUGUGAAUGUGCAGUUCCUUCUGCCCAUCCAGAAACCUAUAAAAGAGUGAAAGUUGAUAAUCCAUGCGUUAAGCCUUAAGUCCCAGUCAUGAAGAGGUAGGGUCGGAAAGAGAGUAGUCAAUUCCUUCCUAUAAAGACCCUAUUUCUGUAACAACUUGUAUUCGAUGCUAUUAUAUGUAACUUCACACAAACAACCUAUUUGAAAACAACUUAUUUCCAUCAAGCAAGGAAAGAAAAUGGGGGCAACACUGCCAUUUCCGCGGAUCACAGUACCUAGCAAUAUUCCUAUUCCUAACUGCUCCCCUUUUAGCGUAGGAACAAAAUGGGGUAAUUCCUUUUCGAUAGCACAAGUAUAGGUCUGGUGGGCAUAACUAAUACCUGCCAUCCAUACUCGGAUAAAGGAAAGGGAUCGGAAGGGCCUAUUUAUUCGUUGUCCGUGGGUAUCUUCUACUCCCCGAAAUAAGUUAGGACAGCAAAAUCCCCUCUCUCUCUCUUUAAGGCACCCUGCGGAUUAGUACUUGCUUGAGGUGGAUGCGGCUAGGACUUUUGGACAAAAGAUCAAGCAGGAUAUCUAAACCUUUGCGACGCCAUCUCUUAUGAAAGAGGUUAUUGGGGGAAUAUGAGAUGAGAAGUAGAAAGCGCCUAAGAUAGGAAAUGCUCUUGAAAGAUUCAUCCUACUCGUGUGCGUGGAUAGCUGAACUGUUCGAAGCCUUGUCCCGUAACAUUGGGGCUACGCUGCUAUUUCACGAGUUAAUCUCGCUAGGGCAAUAUGCAACUAAUAGGAAUCUCCUUACCCCAUUGUAUAAAUGGUAAAAAGGAAGUGAAAUGGCAGCAGUCCUAUCAUAUCAUAUCAUAUAAAAGAGAUAUAAAACAAGCAUGACUUAUUUCUUUAUCUUAUCUAUGAUGUUAUUUCUUUCUCGUUGCUAGGUCAGAGUAUUUCUUUAUCUUAUCUAUGAUGUUAUUUCUUUCUCGUUGCUAGGUAAGAGCUAGAAGCCGAAGGAGAGUAGAAGAAAGACGGUUCGACUGCGCCACCUGUGAGAAAUUGGCUAACCCCUCCAUAGGAGAUGAAAUUGGAAAGAAUAAGCACGAGAAGAAAAUCCGUCCUUGGCAACGAAGUGACAAUUCUGCUUAUCAAAGCGAGCAAGGGCUUGUUGCACGGUAAGAGAUAUAGGUUGAGUAAAGCCGAGAAAGAAUCUCAAGAUGGGUUUCGGAAAGUGGAUAGCACUGCUCCAUGGCAAUCAUACUGUGAUUCAUUACCUUAUUUAUUGAUUGAGCGAGGCAUGUUAGCUCUAGGAUGGCUAGAUCACAAGGAAAUUCAGUAGGCUCGGGACUAUUUUCAGGAAGAGUUCUGUCACUGAUGCUAAUAAACCGACUCGCCAGGCGCUAAGGCUGAAGUCAACUUGGAAAAGUCUUCGUUCUUAUCUAUGAAUGCAAAGACCCCGGUCGAAAACAGAUGAAACGUGUUUGUUUCGAUCAGAGAAAUAGACUUAACGUAACUCACAUUCGUUCAUGAUAGGAAGCUAGGUCUCAAUCCAACACAACACUUCCGGGUCUCAAUCAAUCACAUACAUGGAGUCGGACCUAAAGCUUUUACUGUUGAAUCAGUCCGCUCUUCCCUAGAUGGGUUCUUUCGCCUACUCUGCAACCAAUCUUUCUUGCCUAACUAUUUCCCUUUCACUAGUUACAGGAACUACUUACUUAAUGUAGUUAGAAAGCUGUAUGCUAUCUUACGCUAUAACCUCUUCCUACUUAUGAAAUUACUGACUUUCACACCGAUUUAUGUCUAUCCUUUAGCUUGAACCACUACCUGAAGUUCGCUACUGACGUACUUACUCUAUUUACUGGGUCGUGAGCUAAUACCUUGCUAUUAUAAGUUUCUCACUGACUCUUCUUUUUGAUUGAGGAGUAGUAGAAAGGGAAUCCUUAUAUUCUUGGCUCACUCUUUCUCUUUUCCUGUCUUUCUUUGUGAGCUACUUAUAGUUAUGGAUAGCACUUAUCAAUGGACACUUUCAAUUCAUUAUUUCUCUGAAUACUUUUAUAUAUGCAAUUUAUGGCGUUGUUAGGCUGGAGUAAGAGCCAAGAAAAGAAUCAAUCGAAAGCUAGAACAGAAAGCCUUUCCACGAAUAAGAUAAAGGCUAUGGUAAGAGUAAGACAACUGCAAGCACCCUUGCUAGGCCAGACGACUUAAACACAGCGGUCUGAUUCCGAACCCCUGUAAAAUAGAAUAGGGCAACUGCAUGGGACAAAAGAAAAGGAAAGCUAGAAGGGAUGAAAUGACUCGGAGGCGAGGAUCGACAUCAAAAGCUUCUCGGACGGAAACUCUAGCAGGAACUGGCCUUAGGACGAUGGCAGAAGUCGGGAUGGCUGGGAAUAAUCAUAAGAUAACAGAAGCAUAAGAUAACAGAAGUCGGGAUGGCUGGGAAUAAUCAUAACAUAAGAUAAUAUACAUAUCUGGGAAUAAUAAUAAGAUAAUAUAGAUUCAAAGACGUAUCACAAGCUUGGUGAAACAGCCUCUCUCAAAGCAGCUAUAUUGGAAUCCUAUGCUUCUCUGCUAUAUUGGAAUCCAUCUUAUGCUUCUCUUAAAGCAGCAGUCUGUCUUAUCAUCCUCUGAUGGCAGCUUAUGAGAUACUGCACCUACCUCGUUGGUCAAGUAUUCACGCUUCCGUUCUAUUCUUGUGCUGGUUGGUCUUCAAACGCUUGGUAGGAAUAAAGCAAAUAAAGAGUUAGCGAGAAGAGUUUCAACCUCUCUUACAUCCACCAAGCCAUUACAUUAUGAAUUUUCGCAAGCCAGUGUAUAACAUGGGCUGCUGGACAGAGUGCUUCCCUAUAAGAUCUCUUUGAGACUGAAUGCUUUGGGGUUUCCUUUCAAAAGAAAGACAGAUCGGGAAAUUGCUAAAGGUUAACACUCCACUUGCUUUUGUUUUUGCUAUAUAGUUACAUCAGGCUUACUUAGCUACCCCUGAUUCUAUUAGACUGACUUAGCUACCCAUUAUUCUCUGACUUAUACUUAGCUUUGGAACCAAUUAAUUCUCUCAUCCAUUAGACCCCUUACAUAGUUUAAACAGUACGUAUUUAGUAUGUAGGGAAAGGAAGCAUUUCCGUAGGGCAGAUAACAUUAGACCCCUUUGGAGUUUAACCAGAUUGGAUUAUUUAACGGACAAGCGUCGGGCCAUAAAUCCAAGAAUAGAACCGAUGCCAAUAGGACUUGUUCUCAUAUAACUAGGAAAUCGACUACCGAUAGCAAGAACUCAACUCUCAACUCGGAAUCAAGAAACUGAGGGAAGACCUUACAAGCGCAAUAAAGAAUCGAAGUAGUACGUAAAAGAAUACAACUCAAUAGUGCGAGGAUCACUCUGUUACCCUAACACACUCAUCAAUCGGAGUUAAUGAACAUUGAACUGAUUACAAACAGGCUAAGCUAACUGGAACUAAUACCUUAUCUUCUUCCAAUGAAUUGAACUGGCGCUAACAGGACUUAUGCCCUCAACUAAGACUUCCUUUACCGCCCUUGCACCUUGCUUCGCUGUGUCCUUGCCUUUGUCCACUUGCUCUCAAACUUACACUGCCUUAUCUCAUUCUGUAGGUCCGCUACACUUCUCUGGCUCUCGAACGGGGAGUACAGCUAACAGGACUUUAGAUACUAACCAUAAGAAUGGGACUGCUACUGAAAAGAAGCAAACACAUAACUCUGGCUUUCACUACUGAACCCAACUCUUGCUUAUUGCCCUAUUAGCCUGUCGUUGCUUUUCAUUCUGGAACACCCUAGUCUAAUACUAUGCCUUAUUAUAAUGAAUUUACCUAUAGAAUACUAGAAUCCAAUUUCUUAAUGAAACGAAAGAACAAGCAAAUGCUGGAGUUUUUGAAGAAACAAACAAGGCUUUGUCAUUAAAGGAAGCAGUAAGCAGUGAGUUUAGGGGCUAUGGGCUAAUGACUGAAACAGGCAAACAACUUACUUGAGUUUUCGGGGAACAAGCUUAUCGUGUUCAGAGAGGUGGUGUGUAUUAUGAGUUUGUUUUGAAGCAAGUGAUAGAAUUCCAGAAGCAACGAAAUAAGUAAUGAAUGGCAUAAGACAUUGUGUUAACGUAGAGUUCUGGGUGCCCGCCUAUCCUCCUUUAUUGCUGAAAAAAGCUUUGUAGAGCCAAGCAGUAAUAAGUGAGUUUUUCAACAAUGCUCUGUUCGGUUAUCUUAAUAUAUCAGUUGUGCAAGAGAGAUAAAUGAAUGGAUUAUUAUUAUAGAUCUGAGAUCCUUUCUCCAAAUCCUCUUUACUAUGAUAUGAGCAUGAGAUGCAAUUGAAUUGGUUGACUUCACAAAGUCUCAACUCCGCCUUGCCUUGUGUUUCAUGCGAUAGCAGUCAAAAGUAAGGUAUAAUAAUCUUUCUCACCCGCCGGGCCUUCUAGUAAUUCGCUAAAAGAACUCCAAAGCCCCGAAAGAAGAGAAUGGAGCGAGGCCUAAGAGAAUGUGAGUUUGUCGGCCGGCGCAAGACAAGAGAUGGAUUCCUGUACGUACUGUUUUCGCAAGACAAGAGAUGGAUUCCUGUACGUACUGUUUUCCUGGGCGCGCUAGGAGUUUCUAGGUAAAUUCAUGAAUAUAUUGUAUGCGCAAGAGAGAUAGAGAUGGAUUCCAUUCUCUUUCUUGUUAUGGAUAGUUUCCAGAGAUCAAAUCCUAUAUAUAUGUCCUCGAAAAGCAAAGCAAUCUUCUGCGCUGGGAAAGAUCUGAAGCUAUAAGGAUAUCGCUACGUGGGCUUCCAUCUACAAUGACAGCACAAUUCUUUCUGCUUAACAAUCAAUCAAGUAUGGAGCGGGUGCUUACGUCAUAAAUCCAAAAUGAUGUAAGAAAUCCUAAAUGAUGUAUUUGUUGGAGAGAUAUGAAAAUGAGAAACUUCAAGUCGAGGCGAGGUAUACUUCAGUAUAGAGGGAUUCUGGUGUUGUUAGUUCAACAAGUAGAGCUAGGUCUUGGGACUUCAAAGUUGCAUCCCGAGGACUUCAUAUUUGACUCGAGACCUGACAUUGAAGAAUGGAAUCUAGAUGGUUAUUAUAGUAUAGAAAGAAGUCCGUACCGUAACCUGACAGUGAAGCUUUAGCACUUAUUGUAUUGAAUGAAAGUAAGCAUUAAUAAGCUGUAGAAAUGGAGUAUAAGUUGAAGGAGCUUAAGGUUAUACUUCAUAUUUCGGUUCAGAAAGCAGAGUUCGAGCUCAGGGGUAUCUCUCUGUCUGUGUUGGGUAAGUUAAGGGGUAUCUCUCUGUCUGUGUUGGGUAAGUUCCCUUCGAGCAAGGAUCUCAGUUAAGGGAAAAACAGUGUAAAAGUCGUAAAUUGAAGCACGUCAUGGUCCAGUCCAAGCAUCAAAGUUCAGUAGUUGGAGGGGUUCAAAGGCUUCUGACGGCGAGUACUAAGUGGAGAGUAGAGAGGUUCGGGUGCUAGCGUUAAAGAUUCUUCUUUCAAGUAAAUGAGUUCAAUUGUCAGCUGCAAAUCCAAAUGAAAGUCUACAUCGACAACAGAAAUGAAUGCAAAGGCUGCAAGUAAGCGGGAAAGAAAUCAAGUAAGGGCUUCGUUCAUGAGUGUAAUCAUAUGUUGAAGCCGAAUACACCUUUGAGAAUGAAUGCUCACCGGAAUGCUUGGCGCUUGUCAGGUCAUCUGCUAUUCUGAACUUCCUAGAAAUGAUAGAAUGAUCAUAUAGGGUGGAGCCAUACAUAUAACUUGGUAAUCCGUAGCAGGAGUCGGAAAGUCUCUCGCUCGGGCUAAAGUCAGCUGCAAGCGCAAAGGAAAGUCAAGGUGGUCGAGCACUGUAAGCGAGUUCAGUUAUUGGUUUCAAGUCUGCAAUAAAUGAAGCAGUUCUCAAGUCAGCUACAAGCGUGAAAGGUUUCGUUUAGAGUCUUUGUCGUGGAAAGAGAUGAGCUUACUAUUUCGGUUCAUCAAGUUUCGUUCUUGUAUCUAAGUCGACUAUAUCAGUUAUUGGCUACGCGGGGUAAGCGGUGAUUAACUUGAAGUUUCGGUUAAGGUUAGUUCGGCUAAAGUCCAAGUUUCAAAAGCAUUCUUUUCCCUCGGAUCAAGACGUGGUGCGCGAACGGGAGUUGUUGACAAUGAAAGUUCCCUACUUAAAGUAGAGUCAAAUCCACCAGUCAAACAAAACUCGGAAUUGUACUUACCCGCUUCAGAUCUUUAUACGGCCACUGAUCCAACAGAUGAUGAUUCUUCUCGUAACUUAACUUAUUCGUCUCCUGCAACAGAUCUGGAUAAGGCUUCUAAUCCUGUUUCCGCUUCUGCUUUAGCUGAUUCUUCUUAGUAAUAGUACGAUUCCACUCUCUAUACUAGAGCCCCCAUCUUUCUUCAAUUCUUCAAUGAAACAAACCGGAUCUUGAUCCAUCUUCUUUACCAGCUUCCUCUGUUACUCUUGAUCUAUCUGAUGAUCCUGCUCUACCUAACCCGGAAACCAGAAGUUCUUUACUUGUUACGAAGGGAAGCAGUGGGAGUAGAAUUCAUGGGUUUUGGCAAUUCCGGUAGUUUCGUUCGGGUCAAGCCAAGUGAUAGGGCAGGAGGUGCAAGCCAAGUUCAAAGAACUAUAGGAGCAAAGCCAAGUUCAAGGGAGCAGCGAGGGUAAAGUCAACAGUCAGUUUAGGAGUGUAGCACCGGAGACAAAGUCAAUGCAAGCGGUUCUUCAAGUUCCAUUUCCUUUCUGGUUCUUGUUUUGUCAUAUAUAGAAGCCGAGACAGAAUGCUUAGGCAAAAGUGCUGUAGCAAGCAGGUAAUCUGAAAGUGGAACAAACAACUGGCUUUCACACUCGAUUGAGAGUUCCGGGCAGAAUUAUGUAAAGGCUUUGAUGCCCUAAAGGGAGCUAGGAGAAUAGAGAAAGAAGGGAGCUAAGCUAGUGUAAUAGAGAAAGAAGGGAGCUAGGCUAGGAGAAUAGAGAAAGAAGGGAGCUAGUGUAAUAGAGAAGGGAGCGGCUGCCCCGGAUAAGCUAAACGAGUAUUCUAACGAGCCCUGCUGCACUGCUAUUGUCUGGUAGGGGAAGCAAAGGGCUAACAUAUGUACGUACGAGUUAAGUUACUCCUUUCUAUAAUAGUAAUAUAGUUGCACUAAAUAAAACAAGCGAGUUUAGGUUUAGUUCGCCGGGGUGCUAAGGGGUACGGUGCCUCUAUUCGUGAUUAAGGCAAACAGUGAGUACCGUAUAUUAGUAGUAAUGUUAUGCUCUUAUCUCAAUGUAAGUGCAAAUGAUUUUCAACAAAAGUAACAGAGUGAGUAACGCUAGCAAAAAGCCGUAUCGCACAACAGAACAAUAAAGAAUAGGAAGAGCAAAGCAGUGAGUCGGAGCGGUUUCAAUGGCAUUCAUAACUUCAAGGAGAGGCUCUUAUUGUAAGUUCGCUAAGCAAGAAAGAUUACUGUUUGGUUUGACUGAACACGAAGACUCAACUGGCCCAGGCCCAACAAGAGUAAGUGCGCUAACAGGAGUUUUUUACAGUUCCGUUUAUAGGUAAAUAGGAGAAUAAGCAAGAUCAUAACCUAGAUAAUCUACAGGAACAAGCCGAUAACGAUCAGAUUCCAAAGAAAGGGAUUCAGUACGGGUGAAGUCUCCGAGAUCAGAAAGGUUUUUAGUGUAUUUACUUAGAUCUAUACAAAGUGUUCGAGAAGAGAGGCAGAGUUGAGAGAACAAGCCAGGGGUCUAUUGGAGGUAGUUGACAGAGCCUAGCCUGUAGUUGGUGAGUUUCAUCCGAAAUGUAAUCCUAUAGAAAGAUCCAUAAUAUGAGAAAGUUCUUUUACAAGUCUAGGUUUUGGUGAACCAACCCAGUACUCUUUCACCCCAUUAAUUAAGGGCACAGGACAAUUCAGUUAGAUGAGAUGGAAAGGUAUUGAUGCCUACCUAUUGCAUGAUCAACUGCUGAAGUCAAGUAUCCGAAGAAGCAACUAAGAAUAAUUUCAUUCCUUCCCAUAUAGAAGCAGUGCUAAAGAAGCAAGUAAGAAGGGCAAGACUCCUUAAGAUGUGACCAAUACCCGAGGCCCCAUAUGACCAGUAAGAUAGAAUCCAAUCCGGUAACUAACCAAACCCAGUACUUGACUUCUUUCUUGACUUCAACUUAUGCUCUUUGAACAAGGGCGAAAUUCUUCUUAGUAGUUCAUUCCUCCUGACUGAGAGGGGCAAGCAGUAAGGAGUGAGGUUAAAGCAUCAUAGUCGAGGUGGGCAAGGUUUACAAUAAGUCCUUUGUUCAGCAAGCGGGUAUCUCGGGCUAAAGUCAGCUACCGGGCUAUUCAAUUAGUAGGCGUCAAUGCACUAUAACAUCACUUCUGGGGUUUGAUGGUCAAUCACAUUAAAAACAGAUAUGGAUUAGAAAUAAUGCAUUUCAAUCCUAUAAAACAUGGGCAAGAGAACCAGUGGAAUUCUUUUUCUUUCUUGUUUCAUUCUACUUAUACUAAUACUUAGAAGCGGUCUUCUACUCUGCAACUAAGAAGAAGGGAGAAGAAUAAUCAUAAGGGAUAAGAAGAGGAUUGAGCUAUGAAGUCAUUGAUACCUGUAUUAUAUAUAACUCCUAACUCGAAACUCCUAAUACUUUCUUUUAAAUACUAUAACUCCGGUGCCAGUUUUCUUCUUUAAUGCCGGUUUCAUCCCCGCCAAGUAACUACUAGACAAGACACUGCUUCUUUUAUCGUAGACAACACUAGAACUUCACCUUUGUAGUGGGCAUGAGAUUAGAGCUAGAUGAGAUGAGGCUGAAAGUGCAACUUAUUCUCGGCUUCUGGUACUCUCCUUUCUACUUCAACUGAUCCUGAUCCAGCUUAUUCGACUGCAUCCGCUGACUCGUCACUUUCAGAAUUGACUGAACUUGUUGCUCCUGACUCCACUAAUACGGAUACUGAUGUUUCGAGUGCCAAUGGAGCUCCCCCGGAUCUUGCUGCCUCACCGGAUACGGCGGAUUCUCUAUACGCCAACUAAGGUCAAUCAAGCCAAUCUGCUUCCUUUACACCAAAGCAAACUGCGGAUUCUAUCAACUCUCCGGAAACUGGAAUGGAAUCUAUUGGCGAGUCCACAAAUAAAUCAUCUCUCUCGGCAAGAACCUAUAUUGGUGAUUCCAUUGAGAAAGCUUCUGCACUUGCUUAUGGAGUUAAGGGGCGGGGUGCUUAUUCCAUUGAUUCUCACUUUCCGGGAGGUAAUACUAACUCUGGCUUGGGAACCUGCGAUUCUCUUACGCCCCACUUCCUCAAAUUAUGAUAUAUAUAACCAUUAUUCUAUGACUUAGCUUUUGCACCAAUGAUUCUCAUUCCUAAAGUAGCACUACAACUUCUGAAAGUAACAUAGCUCGUUAUUAAGGUAGCAUCACCUAUUCUGUGAGUGGUAAUUCACUCGUUCUGUGAGCGUAACAUUAACUCAUUUAUUUUCAUAUGUUGUGUUGCGCGUCCUCAGUCUGUUAGCGGCUAUUCCCUCCCUCGGUCUUCGGGCGAAACAUCGAAUGUCAUCGAGUGUCUUCGCUCAUUCACCCAUGCUUAGAAGGUACAUUGCACAUGCUUAGAAGGUCCAUUGCUUUCCCUUUUGAUGCUUAUAACAGUCAGUUCGAUUAUGUCUCCCCGUCCUGGGUCCCUAACGAGAAAAGGCUUAUGCAGAGUAUGGUUUAGAAGAAAGCAAAGUGGUAUAAGUUUUCAACAAGGGGAUAGGGAAGUGCAAUAAGCUAUACGGAACGAAACCACCCAACUAUAUUCUGGUUUGUAUUAAUAGAAAUGUAUUAAUAGAAAAACCACCACUAUACUCUCUUUGGACAGCGCCGAUGCUAUUCUUGCUUUUGUUUGGCAGUGCUUCUUAUAAGAUAGUUUACUCAGUGCCAAUUCUAUUACUGAGCUCUGGAAUCUAUAGCACGACCUACUAUAUAAUAAUAAUAUAAUAAAUGCUAACUAUCAAGUAAGAAUCAACUAAUACUAUUGGAAUGGAACUGGGAAUUAAGACACCUAUAACGAAUGAAACGAGUACUAAUAGGAAUGAAACAAUCAAUACGGGCUUAAGGAAUGAGCUCGACAAGCAACGGACCAAGCUUAGUUUAGUAUAGACAAGCAACGGCAACUAUAAGAAUAGAACUUCUACAGAUGAUACUUUAACAGCUUACCAACAGGGCUUAUGCUCAACACUAGGGCUUUUCACUGGAAAUGUAGGUUAAUAACAGGCUCGAACUGGCGACUACCUUACUUUUACUCAUAACUCGGGCUACAACUCAUAACUAAGGCCCCGGCUACAGCUUCUUUAAACUCAGGCUUCGGCUACAGCUUUUAGAGCUCAGCUCUUUAACUCAGAAGUAAGGCUGGCACUGCCUACUAAAAGCAUUAACUCAACACUCAUUCUUAUACUCCUUGCAAAAGUCUGCCUCUGUGGGCGCAUACUCUACCUUCUACUCUUAAAGUGGAGUGUAAGCCUUCUAAUUGCAAGUUUCAAACUGGCUGGCUCCUGUCCUGCGUGGACCAAAUCCGUAUUCUAUUUGGUCGCUUCAGUCCUGCUUGUUGGUUUUAUAGCCUCCCUCCUUUGGGUACCCAACUAAGAUGGGGCAGAAUGAACUCAACAGUCAAAGAACUCAACACAGUAGUAAUGAGCACCAAGCGCAUGGGGUCAGAAGUCAACUCAUUAGUCUCAGUGGCUUUUUCCUCUACUUUGGAACUCAGACUUUCACUCAUAAGUCGAAAUGGAACUAGUGCUUCUAAUAUGAUAACUUUGAACUGGGCUCUAAACUACUCCUUUUGCCGGGUCUGCUCUUCAUUCUCAUACUAGAACCUUGCUUUCUCACUUAUCAGUCACCAAGCAACUACUAAUGACCAAGCCACUACUAACCAAACAACGGCGCAAGACGUUGAGCGGUAGCAAUAGUAAUAGAUAUAACAAAGUUAUUACAAUAGAUGUGUUCUGGGCGGUAGGAGGAAGUGAGCUAAACGUUAGCGAGUCCGGGGCCUGACUAGUCCAAUUCUCACUUUGGUAACACCUACUUCUAUUCUAACUGCUGUCAUUGUACUAGAGCAUCGGAGACUCGGGGGGAAUGUAGCUGCUUCUUUAAGGCUUCUACUUACUAGUUGGAUUCUGAGUCUUAUACUAGAUGCUUACUACUAGCAGCGGAGGCCCAGGACUACUAGACUUAACGAGCACCUCCAACUGGUAUGAAACAAAUUCCACUUCACGAAACCCGUGUUUUUGGGUAGCAACCCUGUUUUCGCUAAUAGACCCAUGAAAAAGAGAUAGAAUUUCAUGAAAACCCGUUAAACAACACUGCCGCGUAACAUUCUGUUCCUUGGCGGGUAGCAUUGGAGUUUUCCUUCCUGAGUGCCCAGAUUGAAAUGGCCAAGACACUCGGAGACAACUACAAUAAGAAACAACAUAAGGUAUAUUUAUGAUGAGCUAUGCCUUAAGAUGUGUUCAGGCGCGGCAGCCCAAUAAUAGUUAUAACGAAGUUAUUACAAUAGAUGUUUUCGUUGCGUUUUCCCGUGUUUUUUGGUUGUAAAUGGAUUUCCCUUCCUGAGGCACCUGAUGGAAAUUACAAUUUCACGUUUUCCCGGGAUUUUUCAUAGCAAAUAGAAUUUCCCUCCUGAGCCGGUCCAUUGAAAUGAGAUUUUUUACGAAACACGGUAAACAGCGCUGCCGCGUAACAUUAGCAGUUACUUGGCUCAUAGCAAAUGGGGAAAUAGUAUGGUACUUCACUUAGGCUUCCACUCGGUAUUCAACUAUAGUACCGACCUCGACUCACCAGACUUAAGAACCAACACCCUACUUUAGAACCAGAGCUGGGGCAGUACCACCAGGAGCUGUACUCAAGGGAGCAGUACUAAAGGGAUGGGAUGAAACUCUAACUCGACAAACAAGAACAGCCCCGAUUGCAGCUGGCUCUUCCAAACUAUCCCUAGCUACUUUCCUAGACUUAACUAACACAACACAAUAUCCUCUUGGGCUUCUUCUCCUGGAACUGUCACUGUAACAGGAAUAGGACAAAUACUAUAAUCAUAAGGGCCUUAUAGUAAUUUGGGAGCUACACUAAGAAUUCCACUAUCAACUCUAAACUCNNNNNNNNNNNNNNNNNNNNNNNNNNNNNNNNNNNNNNNNNNNNNNNNNNNNNNNNNNNNNNNNNNNNNNNNNNNNNNNNNNNNNNNNNNNNNNNNNNNNNNNNNNNNNNNNNNNNNNNNNNNNNNNNNNNNNNNNNNNNNNNNNNNNNNNNNNNNNNNNNNNNNNNNNNNNNNNNNNNNNNNNNNNNNNNNNNNNNNNNNNNNNNNNNNNNNNNNNNNNNNNNNNNNNNNNNNNNNNNNNNNNNNNNNNNNNNNNNNNNNNNNNNNNNNNNNNNNNNNNNNNNNNNNNNNNNNNNNNNNNNNNNNNNNNNNNNNNNNNNNNNNNNNNNNNNNNNNNNNNNNNNNNNNNNNNNNNNNNNNNNNNNNNNNNNNNNNNNNNNNNNNNNNNNNNNNNNNNNNNNNNNNNNNNNNNNNNNNNNNNNNNNNNNNNNNNNNNNNNNNNNNNNNNNNNNNNNNNNNNNNNNNNNNNNNNNNNNNNNNNNNNNNNNNNNNNNNNNNNNNNNNNNNNNNNNNNNNNNNNNNNNNNNNNNNNNNNNNNNNNNNNNNNNNNNNNNNNNNNNNNNNNNNNNNNNNNNNNNNNNNNNNNNNNNNNNNNNNNNNNNNNNNNNNNNNNNNNNNNNNNNNNNNNNNNNNNNNNNNNNNNNNNNNNNNNNNNNNNNNNNNNNNNNNNNNNNNNNNNNNNNNNCAAUCUAGUUUCCUUAAUAAAGAUAGAGAAAAUUAUCCACUCGCCAAGUCACUCCUAAUGUGUAGCGGCAGUGAGCUACCCCCUACUAUGUCUGUACUGAAUAGAUACAUAAGAAAUUGUAAGACUUUUCUUGAUUAUUUGUGAUUUGAGAAUUUGUGAUUGGAUUGUUUUGAUCAUUUCUUUGAUACUUGAAAAAAGGCUCCUCUCCUAUACUACUCCUCUGUAAACUAACCACUCCUACUUAAUAUAAGGGCAGCUAAAUCCAUUCCUUUCUCAAGAAUUCCACUAGCUACUCUUAACUACUGGCAAAUCAUGCAACAGGGGAUUACACUCUCACUGGAGCAGUACUCAAGGUCUUACACUCUAACUCACAACUAGGAGCUCUCAAUCCGGUCUUCAACUAGCCAAUAACCUACUACUCGGGAAAGCUAUCAAACUGGAAUGUCAAUUUACUUAGACACAAGCAACUCUGAUCCUUAUGAAAGACAAUCAUAUCAAUCAGAGCAUUCUCUACGGUAACCGGAUGACGAAAACCAGACUUGCUACAGGCAACGUACUCACGCCGACGACUGACGAAAACAGAAAUGGAAUUUCCAGAGAUAUAUAUAAGACUCAAUUCUCAUAGAUAUAUAUAAGAUCAUAUGGAAAUGGAAUUCUUCACAGAAGGGAUCGGUGUUUUAAAGAAGAUGGAUUUCUUAUUUGAUGCUUUACCAGUUUUACCAGCUUUACCUGCUUACAGCCUAUUACUUGUAGUACCUGCGGAAUAGGUUAUUUUCGAAAGGGAACCUUCUCAGAAAGAGUCAUUUCCUAACUUGUAGCUCGGUUUCCUUUGAAGUAAAGUUGGCAUGGCACGCACGAGUCUUCUUUAAUAUAAUGGCCCACUUUGGCUUUAGCCGGAUCUUCGGAGGCAGAAAAAGGUAACUGAGACUCUCUUUAGCAACUGUUGUGCUACUUCUUGAGUCUAUUCUUUCAUUUCUUUUUGUUCUAGCUUAGCUUUCCAAAUGAAACCUACACUCUCUACUCAUGUCAUGAAGCGCUUGUAAAGACUCCUUUGUCACUGGACAUGCACUAUUGAUUAAUUCUCACUACUAGUAGUAAUAAGAGUGUCUAUAUGGGAGUAAUAAGAGUGUCUAUAUGGAACCUUGAAAGGUGUAACAAUAAAUGGACCUAACUACUAGCUCAUAACUCUAAGGAAAGCAUAGUUAGGAACGGUUCACAAGAUGGAAACAAUGGGCCAAGCCCACAAGACACUCAAGCACAACAUAAAUAAGAAAAACAACAUAAAGUGUUUUGUUUGUUCUCUGACUUUCCAUUCCUACUAAGAGCACUGGGUUAGUUGCCCUAAUCUAUGAGACCCCUUUUCUCCGGCGAUACUAUACCCCUUUUAUCCGGCUCAUUCAUCUAUAUUCUUGUUUGCAAUGUAAAGGAAGAAGAGGCUCUUAGCACCUCGGUGCCGUGCCCUAAACAGAAGAGAGUUUCCUCAGUGCCCCCCCAGUUCUCCAUUCUGACUUGAUAGUUUCCUCAGUGCCAAUUCCUUUCUUAGUUUUUGUUGAGAGGUGACUUCUGACUUUAUUAUGAGAUUAUUCUAGCAGACGUCGAAUCUCUAUCUUACUACUCUUAUGACUUGACUCUUAUAUCUAUUAUUCUUGCAGACCUAGCUCAGCACUCUGGUUAUGACCUUCCAGUUGAAUACUUAUCAAGAGAACUAGGUUGCUUGGCGG
Molecule: long non-coding RNA, 31685 nt
Filed under: Musa acuminata (dwarf banana)
Lineage: Eukaryota; Viridiplantae; Streptophyta; Magnoliopsida; Zingiberales; Musaceae
Description: long non-coding RNA (MACU_LNC007769)
Source: RNAcentral